GGUUAAGCGACUAAGCGUACACGGUGGAUGCCCUGGCAGUCAGAGGCGAUGAAGGACGUGCUAAUCUGCGAUAAGCGUCGGUAAGGUGAUAUGAACCGUUAUAACCGGCGAUUUCCGAAUGGGGAAACCCAGUGUGUUUCGACACACUAUCAUUAACUGAAUCCAUAGGUUAAUGAGGCGAACCGGGGGAACUGAAACAUCUAAGUACCCCGAGGAAAAGAAAUCAACCGAGAUUCCCCCAGUAGCGGCGAGCGAACGGGGAGCAGCCCAGAGCCUGAAUCAGUGUGUGUGUUAGUGGAAGCGUCUGGAAAGGCGCGCGAUACAGGGUGACAGCCCCGUACACAAAAAUGCACAUACUGUGAGCUCGAUGAGUAGGGCGGGACACGUGGUAUCCUGUCUGAAUAUGGGGGGACCAUCCUCCAAGGCUAAAUACUCCUGACUGACCGAUAGUGAACCAGUACCGUGAGGGAAAGGCGAAAAGAACCCCGGCGAGGGGAGUGAAAAAGAACCUGAAACCGUGUACGUACAAGCAGUGGGAGCACGCUUCGGCGUGUGACUGCGUACCUUUUGUAUAAUGGGUCAGCGACUUAUAUUCUGUAGCAAGGUUAACCGAAUAGGGGAGCCGAAGGGAAACCGAGUCUUAACUGGGCGUUAAGUUGCAGGGUAUAGACCCGAAACCCGGUGAUCUAGCCAUGGGCAGGUUGAAGGUUGGGUAACACUAACUGGAGGACCGAACCGACUAAUGUUGAAAAAUUAGCGGAUGACUUGUGGCUGGGGGUGAAAGGCCAAUCAAACCGGGAGAUAGCUGGUUCUCCCCGAAAGCUAUUUAGGUAGCGCCUCGUGAAUUCAUCUCCGGGGGUAGAGCACUGUUUCGGCAAGGGGGUCAUCCCGACUUACCAACCCGAUGCAAACUGCGAAUACCGGAGAAUGUUAUCACGGGAGACACACGGCGGGUGCUAACGUCCGUCGUGAAGAGGGAAACAACCCAGACCGCCAGCUAAGGUCCCAAAGUCAUGGUUAAGUGGGAAACGAUGUGGGAAGGCCCAGACAGCCAGGAUGUUGGCUUAGAAGCAGCCAUCAUUUAAAGAAAGCGUAAUAGCUCACUGGUCGAGUCGGCCUGCGCGGAAGAUGUAACGGGGCUAAACCAUGCACCGAAGCUGCGGCAGCGACACUAUGUGUUGUUGGGUAGGGGAGCGUUCUGUAAGCCUGUGAAGGUGUGCUGUGAGGCAUGCUGGAGGUAUCAGAAGUGCGAAUGCUGACAUAAGUAACGAUAAAGCGGGUGAAAAGCCCGCUCGCCGGAAGACCAAGGGUUCCUGUCCAACGUUAAUCGGGGCAGGGUGAGUCGACCCCUAAGGCGAGGCCGAAAGGCGUAGUCGAUGGGAAACAGGUUAAUAUUCCUGUACUUGGUGUUACUGCGAAGGGGGGACGGAGAAGGCUAUGUUGGCCGGGCGACGGUUGUCCCGGUUUAAGCGUGUAGGCUGGUUUUCCAGGCAAAUCCGGAAAAUCAAGGCUGAGGCGUGAUGACGAGGCACUACGGUGCUGAAGCAACAAAUGCCCUGCUUCCAGGAAAAGCCUCUAAGCAUCAGGUAACAUUAAAUCGUACCCCAAACCGACACAGGUGGUCAGGUAGAGAAUACCAAGGCGCUUGAGAGAACUCGGGUGAAGGAACUAGGCAAAAUGGUGCCGUAACUUCGGGAGAAGGCACGCUGAUAUGUAGGUGAAGUCCCUCGCGGAUGGAGCUGAAAUCAGUCGAAGAUACCAGCUGGCUGCAACUGUUUAUUAAAAACACAGCACUGUGCAAACACGAAAGUGGACGUAUACGGUGUGACGCCUGCCCGGUGCCGGAAGGUUAAUUGAUGGGGUUAGCGGUAACGCGAAGCUCUUGAUCGAAGCCCCGGUAAACGGCGGCCGUAACUAUAACGGUCCUAAGGUAGCGAAAUUCCUUGUCGGGUAAGUUCCGACCUGCACGAAUGGCGUAAUGAUGGCCAGGCUGUCUCCACCCGAGACUCAGUGAAAUUGAACUCGCUGUGAAGAUGCAGUGUACCCGCGGCAAGACGGAAAGACCCCGUGAACCUUUACUAUAGCUUGACACUGAACAUUGAGCCUUGAUGUGUAGGAUAGGUGGGAGGCUUUGAAGUGUGGACGCCAGUCUGCAUGGAGCCGACCUUGAAAUACCACCCUUUAAUGUUUGAUGUUCUAACGUUGACCCGUGAUCCGGGUUGCGGACAGUGUCUGGUGGGUAGUUUGACUGGGGCGGUCUCCUCCUAAAGAGUAACGGAGGAGCACGAAGGUUGGCUAAUCCUGGUCGGACAUCAGGAGGUUAGUGCAAUGGCAUAAGCCAGCUUGACUGCGAGCGUGACGGCGCGAGCAGGUGCGAAAGCAGGUCAUAGUGAUCCGGUGGUUCUGAAUGGAAGGGCCAUCGCUCAACGGAUAAAAGGUACUCCGGGGAUAACAGGCUGAUACCGCCCAAGAGUUCAUAUCGACGGCGGUGUUUGGCACCUCGAUGUCGGCUCAUCACAUCCUGGGGCUGAAGUAGGUCCCAAGGGUAUGGCUGUUCGCCAUUUAAAGUGGUACGCGAGCUGGGUUUAGAACGUCGUGAGACAGUUCGGUCCCUAUCUGCCGUGGGCGCUGGAGAACUGAGGGGGGCUGCUCCUAGUACGAGAGGACCGGAGUGGACGCAUCACUGGUGUUCGGGUUGUCAUGCCAAUGGCACUGCCCGGUAGCUAAAUGCGGAAGAGAUAAGUGCUGAAAGCAUCUAAGCACGAAACUUGCCCCGAGAUGAGUUCUCCCUGACUCCUUGAGAGUCCUGAAGGAACGUUGAAGACGACGACGUUGAUAGGCCGGGUGUGUAAGCGCAGCGAUGCGUUGAGCUAACCGGUACUAAUGAACCGUGAGG
RNAcentral lists this ribosomal RNA (2896 nucleotides) under Escherichia coli. RNAcentral describes it as "partial 23S ribosomal RNA". It matches the Rfam family "Bacterial large subunit ribosomal RNA". Lineage: Bacteria; Pseudomonadati; Pseudomonadota; Gammaproteobacteria; Enterobacterales; Enterobacteriaceae. The record is from RNAcentral.